Molecule: non-coding RNA, 119 nt
Filed under: Streptomyces sp.
Lineage: Bacteria; Bacillati; Actinomycetota; Actinomycetes; Kitasatosporales; Streptomycetaceae
Also listed under: 1 other name
Description: SAM-IV sequence
Rfam family: SAM (S-adenosyl methionine) riboswitch aptamer
About the family: SAM-IV is a mRNA element that regulates gene expression via direct sensing of S-adenosylmethionine (SAM or AdoMet).
Source: RNAcentral
GGUCAUGAGUGACAGCGCGAAGCCCCAGCUGGCUGUCCGGCAACCCUCCGUCCGUGGCGGGGUGCCCUGGGUGAGGACCGGGUCGUCACGGCAAGCCGUCCGUGCGACAAGCGCGGACG